GACGAACGCUGGCGGCGUGCUUAACACAUGCAAGUCGAACGGAAAGGCCCUGCUUUUGUGGGGUGCUCGAGUGGCGAACGGGGGAGUAACACGUGAGGAACCUGCCCUUGACUUUGGGAUAACUUCAGGAAACUGGGGCUAAUACCGGAGAGGAGCUCCUGCUGCAUGGUGGGGGUUGGAAAAUUUCGGCGGUUGGGGAUGGACUCGCGGCUUAUCAGCUUGUUGGGGGGGUAGGGGCUUACCAAGGCUUUGACGGGUAGCCGGCCUGAGAGGGUGACCGGCCCCAUUGGGACUGAGGUACGGCCAAGACUCCUACGGGAGGAAGCAGUGAGGAAUAUUGCACAAUGGGCGGAAGCCUGAUGCAGCAACGCCGCGUGCGGGAUGACGGCUUUCGGGUUGUAAACCGCUUUCGCCUGUGACGAAGCGUGAGGGACGGUAAUGGGUAAAGAAGCACCGGCUAACUACGU
RNAcentral lists this ribosomal RNA (467 nucleotides) under uncultured bacterium. RNAcentral's name for it is "partial 16S ribosomal RNA". It matches the Rfam family "Bacterial small subunit ribosomal RNA", at positions 28 to 506 of the family's 1533-position model. The record is from RNAcentral.